This 328-nucleotide ribosomal RNA is filed under the name uncultured bacterium. RNAcentral describes it as "bacterial SSU rRNA". It matches the Rfam family "Bacterial small subunit ribosomal RNA", at positions 163 to 507 of the family's 1533-position model. The record is from RNAcentral.
CUAAUACCGCAUAAGCACACAGUAUCGCAUGAUACCGUGUAGAAAACUCCGGUGGUAUAGGAUGGACCCGCGUCUGAUUAGCUAGUUGGUGAGGUAACGGCCCACCAAGGCGACGAUCAGUAGCCGGCCUGAGAGGGUGAACGGCCACAUUGGGACUGAGACACGGCCCAAACUCCUACGGGGAGGCAGCAGGUGGGGAAUAUUGCACAAUGGGGGAAACCCUGAUGCAGCGACGCCGCGUGAGUGAAGAAGUAUUUCGGUAUGUAAAGCUCUAUCAGCAGGGAAGAAAAUGACGGUACCUGACUAAGAAGCCCCGGCUAACUACGUG